RNAcentral lists this long non-coding RNA (421 nucleotides) under Mytilus galloprovincialis (Mediterranean mussel). The record is from RNAcentral. Lineage: Eukaryota; Metazoa; Mollusca; Bivalvia; Mytilida; Mytilidae.
CAAACUCAUAAAUCUAAAACAAACUGACAACGCCAUGGCUAAAAAUGAAAAAGACAAACAGAAAAACAAUAGUACACAUGACACAACAUAGAAAACUAAGGAAUAAACAACACGAACCCCACCAAAAACUAGGGGUGAUCUCAGGGGCUCCGGAAGGGUAAGCAGAUCCUGCUCCACAUGUGGCACCCGUCGUGUUGCUUAUGUGAUUACAAAUCCGGUAAAUAGUCUAAUUCGGUAGGUCACAUUCAUGAAAGGGAAGGGGAUUGUAGUUACGACGUAAGGAACAUAUCCGAUAUCAUUUGUGAAACGGUUAUUCCAUAACGGUCAACUCGUGAUGGCGUCCGUAAAAUUUACGAAGGGAUGAUUUCAACUUCACCAUUUGGAACUCUUGGUUUAAUAGCUUCCUUGUGAGCAGUAACCC